AUUGAACGCUGGCGGCAUGCCUUACACAUGCAAGUCGAACGGCAGCACGGGAGCAAUCCUGGUGGCGAGUGGCGAACGGGUGAGUAAUGUAUCGGAACGUGCCCAGUCGUGGGGGAUAACGUAGCGAAAGCUACGCUAAUACCGCAUACGAUCUAUGGAUGAAAGCGGGGGAUCGCUAGGCCUCGCGCGAUUGGAGCGGCCGAUAUCAGAUGAGGUAGUUGGUGGGGUAAAGGCCCACCAAGCCUGCGAUCUGUAGCUGGUCUGAGAGGACGACCAGCCACACUGGAACUGAGACACGGUCCAGACUCCUACGGGAGGCAGCAGUGGGGAAUUUUGGACAAUGGGCGCAAGCCUGAUCCAGCAAUGCCGCGUGCAGGAUGAAGGCCUUCGGGUUGUAAACUGCUUUUGUACGGAACGAAACGGCUUUUUCUAGUACAGAGAGCUAAUGACGGUACCGUAAGAAUAAGCACCGGCUAACUACGUGCCAGCAGCCGCGGUAA
Molecule: ribosomal RNA, 500 nt
Filed under: uncultured bacterium
Lineage: Bacteria
Description: partial 16S ribosomal RNA
Rfam family: Bacterial small subunit ribosomal RNA
Source: RNAcentral